RNAcentral lists this ribosomal RNA (351 nucleotides) under uncultured bacterium. RNAcentral describes it as "partial 16S ribosomal RNA". It matches the Rfam family "Bacterial small subunit ribosomal RNA", at positions 338 to 686 of the family's 1533-position model. The record is from RNAcentral.
CCUACGGGAGGCAGCAGUGAGGAAUAUUGGUCAAUGGCCGGAAGGCUGAACCAGCCAUGCCGCGUGAAGGUCAGUGCCCUAUGGGCGUUAAACUUCUUUUGUGCGGGAGCAAUAAUGGUCACGUGUGGCCAGACGAGAGUACCGUACGAAUAAGCAUCGGCUAACUCCGUGCCAGCAGCCGCGGUAAUACUGGGGGUGCAAGCGUUAUCCGGAUUUAGUGGGUUUAAAGGGUGCGUAGGCGGUGAGGUAAGUCAGCGGGGAAAUGCCCCCGCUCAACGGGGUGAAGUGCCAUUGAUACUGGCUUGCUGGAAUGCGGAUGCCGUGGGAGGAAUGUGUGGUGUAGGGGUGAAA